This 116-nucleotide ribosomal RNA is filed under the name Gammaproteobacteria bacterium. Lineage: Bacteria; Pseudomonadati; Pseudomonadota; Gammaproteobacteria. The record is from RNAcentral.
CCUGGUGACCAAAGAGCGUUGGUACCACCCGAUCCCAUCUCGAACUCGGAAGUGAAACUGCGUAUCGCCGAUGGUAGUGUGGGGCCUCCCCAUGCGAGAGUAGGACAUUGCCAGGC